RNAcentral lists this ribosomal RNA (1280 nucleotides) under metagenome. Its description in RNAcentral is "bacterial LSU rRNA". It matches the Rfam family "Bacterial large subunit ribosomal RNA", at positions 1633 to 2925 of the family's 2925-position model. The record is from RNAcentral.
CAAACUGGCCCGUACCCUAAACCGACACAGGUGAAGGUAGAGUAUACCCAGGGGCGCGAGAUAACUCUCUCUAAGGAACUCGGCAAAAUGGCCCCGUAACUUCGGGAGAAGGGGUGCCACCGAGAGGUGGUCGCAGUGAAGAGUCCCAGGCGACUGUUUACCAAAAACACAGGUCUCCGCUAAGUCGCAAGACGAUGUAUGGGGGCUGACGCCUGCCCAGUGCCGGAAGGUUAAGGAAGUUGGUCAGGGAGCAAUCCUGAAGCUAGCGACUGAAGCCCCGGUGAACGGCGGCCGUAACUAUAACGGUCCUAAGGUAGCGAAAUUCCUUGUCGGGUAAGUUCCGACCCGCACGAAAGGCGUAACGAUCUGGGAGCUGUCUCGGAGAGAGGCUCGGCGAAAUAGGAAUGUCUGUGAAGAUACGGACUACCUGCACCCGGACAGAAAGACCCUAUGAAGCUUUACUGUAGCUUGGUAUUGGGUUCGGGCUUUGAUUGCGCAGGAUAGGUGGGAGACUAUGAGAUAGCUCUUGUGGGAGUUAUGGAGUCACUGGUGAGAUACCACUCUAUCAAGGCUAGAAUUCUAACUUUGACCCGUUAUCCGGGCAGAGAGCAGUAUCAGGUGGGCAGUUUGACUGGGGCGGUCGCCUCCUAAAUGGUAACGGAGGCGCGCAAAGGUUCCCUCAGGCUGGUUGGAAAUCAGCCAUUGAGUGUAAAGGCAUAAGGGAGCUUGACUGCGAGACUGACAAGUCGAGCAGGUACGAAAGUAGGCCUUAGUGAUCCGACGGUUCCGCGUGGAAGGGCCGUCGCUCAACGGAUAAAAGUUACUCUAGGAUAACAGGCUGAUCUCCCCCAAGAGUUCACAUCGACGGGGAGGUUUGGCACCUCGAUGUCGGCUCAUCGCAACCUAGGGCUGUAGUCGGUCCCAAGGGUUGGGCUGUUCGCCCAUUAAAGCGGUACGUGAGCUGGGUUCAGAACGUCGUGAGACAGUUCGGUCCAUAUCCGGUGCAGGCGUAGGAACACUGAGAGGAGUCUUCCUUAGUACGAGAGGACCGGGAAGAACGCACCGCUGGUGUACCUGUUAUCGUGCCAACGGUAAACGCAGGGUAGCCAAGUGCGGAGAGGAUAACCGCUGAAAGCAUCUAAGUGGGAAGCCCACCUCAAGAUGAGUGUUCCCAUGGCAAAAGCCAGUAAGGUCACGGGUAGACCACCCGUUAAUAGGCGCUAGAUGGAAGUCCAGCAAUGGAUGUAGUCGAGGCGUACUAACAGACCGAGGGCUUGACC